Long non-coding RNA from Chinchilla lanigera (long-tailed chinchilla), 987 nucleotides. RefSeq lists it as uncharacterized. NCBI's taxonomy places the organism in Eukaryota, Metazoa, Chordata, Mammalia, Rodentia, Chinchillidae. The record is from RefSeq and is a predicted model, not a curated record. The transcript has 3 exons.
CAAGUGCUGGGAUUACAGGCGUGCACCACCAUGCCCGGAGGGACCUGGUCCAUCCUACAGAAUUUAACAGAGCUGCACCAUUUGGCAGAGGGUAAUACCUGACCAGCGAGUCGUCAGACUUCCUUCACAUGUCCGCUGAUGUGCUGGCUCACGUUGCCAUGAAGUGGGCAGCUUCCCACCAUCACACCCUUCUGCCAUGCUGUUUCUGCCUCACCACAGGCCUAAAAGCAAUGGAGACAGCUGACCAUGGACUGAACCUCUGAAACCAAACUGUGAGCCACAAUAAGCCCUUUCUCCCUUAAAUUGCUCUUCUUAGGUAUAUUGUCACAGUGACAGAAAGCUGACUAACAUACUGCCCAAGUCUAUCCCCUCCCUCAGUCAUACCUGACACCGCCCAGUCUAUGACUCGGCUGAGUUCUGCAACACAGACCACUCCCUGCUUGGGACAAUGGGCUCCAGGACCUCCUCCAUUGCUUUCUUGUUAUGGUUGAUACGUUGUGUCAACUUGGGGAGUCUAGAGGUUUGGUUAAGUGACUCAGCAGUUCUGCAUCCUGGGGCGAAAAGAACACGCCCUUACAGCUCUAGGAUGCUAUUUAUUGUGUCAAUUUGAGAAGUUUAGAAGGUUAACUAUGUCACUCAGCAGGGAGCCAGGGUGCUUACUUUGUAUUCAUCCUGAGCCUGUGCAAGAGGAAGGCACGCAGAGGGUGUGGGUGUAGAGGACCACCCCUCAACCCCCCAGGGCAGGAGCUCCAGUUUUUACCUUAGGCUUGGUCAUCUCCUGGCUUCUGGUGCAGACUGUUUGGCUUCCGCCUGGGCCUCUGCAGCCUUCUGGUGCAGUCUCUCCGGCCUUCGGCCUUCAUCGUAGAGUCUUCAGCAUUUCACCGCAGACCCCAUUAGCCUCCUGAUACAGAAUUGCACAGACACUGCAGUGAGCUCCAGGCCCGGGGCUGGGCUCUUCAAUCUCCAGCCUGCAGACACCCUCUGCAC